UUAAGCGACUAAGCGUACACGGUGGAUGCCCUGGCAGUCAGAGGCGAUGAAGGACGUGCUAAUCUGCGAUAAGCGUCGGUAAGGUGAUAUGAACCGUUAUAACCGGCGAUUUCCGAAUGGGGAAACCCAGUGUGUUUCGACACACUAUCAUUAACUGAAUCCAUAGGUUAAUGAGGCGAACCGGGGGAACUGAAACAUCUAAGUACCCCGAGGAAAAGAAAUCAACCGAGAUUCCCCAGUAGCGGCGAGCGAACGGGGAGGAGCCCAGAGCCUGAAUCAGUGUGUGUGUUAGUGGAAGCGUCUGGAAAGGCGCGCGAUACAGGGUGACAGCCCCGUACACAAAAAUGCACAUGCUGUGAGCUCGAUGAGUAGGGCGGGACACGUGGUAUCCUGUCUGAAUAUGGGGGGACCAUCCUCCAAGGCUAAAUACUCCUGACUGACCGAUAGUGAACCAGUACCGUGAGGGAAAGGCGAAAAGAACCCCGGCGAGGGGAGUGAAAAAGAACCUGAAACCGUGUACGUACAAGCAGUGGGAGCACGCUUAGGCGUGUGACUGCGUACCUUUUGUAUAAUGGGUCAGCGACUUAUAUUCUGUAGCAAGGUUAACCGAAUAGGGGAGCCGAAGGGAAACCGAGUCUUAACUGGGCGUUAAGUUGCAGGGUAUAGACCCGAAACCCGGUGAUCUAGCCAUGGGCAGGUUGAAGGUUGGGUAACACUAACUGGAGGACCGAACCGACUAAUGUUGAAAAAUUAGCGGAUGACUUGUGGCUGGGGGUGAAAGGCCAAUCAAACCGGGAGAUAGCUGGUUCUCCCCGAAAGCUAUUUAGGUAGCGCCUCGUGAAUUCAUCUCCGGGGGUAGAGCACUGUUUCGGCAAGGGGGUCAUCCCGACUUACCAACCCGAUGCAAACUGCGAAUACCGGAGAAUGUUAUCACGGGAGACACACGGCGGGUGCUAACGUCCGUCGUGAAGAGGGAAACAACCCAGACCGCCAGCUAAGGUCCCAAAGUCAUGGUUAAGUGGGAAACGAUGUGGGAAGGCCCAGACAGCCAGGAUGUUGGCUUAGAAGCAGCCAUCAUUUAAAGAAAGCGUAAUAGCUCACUGGUCGAGUCGGCCUGCGCGGAAGAUGUAACGGGGCUAAACCAUGCACCGAAGCUGCGGCAGCGACGCUUAUGCGUUGUUGGGUAGGGGAGCGUUCUGUAAGCCUGUGAAGGUGUGCUGUGAGGCAUGCUGGAGGUAUCAGAAGUGCGAAUGCUGACAUAAGUAACGAUAAAGCGGGUGAAAAGCCCGCUCGCCGGAAGACCAAGGGUUCCUGUCCAACGUUAAUCGGGGCAGGGUGAGUCGACCCCUAAGGCGAGGCCGAAAGGCGUAGUCGAUGGGAAACAGGUUAAUAUUCCUGUACUUGGUGUUACUGCGAAGGGGGGACGGAGAAGGCUAUGUUGGCCGGGCGACGGUUGUCCCGGUUUAAGCGUGUAGGCUGGUUUUCCAGGCAAAUCCGGAAAAUCAAGGCUGAGGCGUGAUGACGAGGCACUACGGUGCUGAAGCAACAAAUGCCCUGCUUCCAGGAAAAGCCUCUAAGCAUCAGGUAACAUCAAAUCGUACCCCAAACCGACACAGGUGGUCAGGUAGAGAAUACCAAGGCGCUUGAGAGAACUCGGGUGAAGGAACUAGGCAAAAUGGUGCCGUAACUUCGGGAGAAGGCACGCUGAUAUGUAGGUGAAGUCCCUCGCGGAUGGAGCUGAAAUCAGUCGAAGAUACCAGCUGGCUGCAACUGUUUAUUAAAAACACAGCACUGUGCAAACACGAAAGUGGACGUAUACGGUGUGACGCCUGCCCGGUGCCGGAAGGUUAAUUGAUGGGGUCAGCGCAAGCGAAGCUCUUGAUCGAAGCCCCGGUAAACGGCGGCCGUAACUAUAACGGUCCUAAGGUAGCGAAAUUCCUUGUCGGGUAAGUUCCGACCUGCACGAAUGGCGUAAUGAUGGCCAGGCUGUCUCCACCCGAGACUCAGUGAAAUUGAACUCGCUGUGAAGAUGCAGUGUACCCGCGGCAAGACGGAAAGACCCCGUGAACCUUUACUAUAGCUUGACACUGAACAUUGAGCCUUGAUGUGUAGGAUAGGUGGGAGGCUUAGAAGUGUGGACGCCAGUCUGCAUGGAGCCGGCCUUGAAAUACCACCCUUUAAUGUUUGAUGUUCUAACGUUGACCCGUAAUCCGGGUUGCGGACAGUGUCUGGUGGGUAGUUUGACUGGGGCGGUCUCCUCCUAAAGAGUAACGGAGGAGCACGAAGGUUGGCUAAUCCUGGUCGGACAUCAGGAGGUUAGUGCAAUGGCAUAAGCCAGCUUGACUGCGAGCGUGACGGCGCGAGCAGGUGCGAAAGCAGGUCAUAGUGAUCCGGUGGUUCUGAAUGGAAGGGCCAUCGCUCAACGGAUAAAAGGUACUCCGGGGAUAACAGGCUGAUACCGCCCAAGAGUUCAUAUCGACGGCGGUGUUUGGCACCUCGAUGUCGGCUCAUCACAUCCUGGGGCUGAAGUAGGUCCCAAGGGUAUGGCUGUUCGCCAUUUAAAGUGGUACGCGAGCUGGGUUUAGAACGUCGUGAGACAGUUCGGUCCCUAUCUGCCGUGGGCGCUGGAGAACUGAGGGGGGCUGCUCCUAGUACGAGAGGACCGGAGUGGACGCAUCACUGGUGUUCGGGUUGUCAUGCCAAUGGCACUGCCCGGUAGCUAAAUGCGGAAGAGAUAAGUGCUGAAAGCAUCUAAGCACGAAACUUGCCCCGAGAUGAGUUCUCCCUGACCCUUUAAGGGUCCUGAAGGAACGUUGAAGACGACGACGUUGAUAGGCCGGGUGUGUAAGCGCAGCGAUGCGUUGAGCUAACCGGUACUAAUGAACCGUGAGGCUUAACCUU
This 2901-nucleotide ribosomal RNA is filed under the name Escherichia coli. RNAcentral describes it as "bacterial LSU rRNA". It matches the Rfam family "Bacterial large subunit ribosomal RNA". The record is from RNAcentral. Lineage: Bacteria; Pseudomonadati; Pseudomonadota; Gammaproteobacteria; Enterobacterales; Enterobacteriaceae.